This 87-nucleotide ribosomal RNA is filed under the name Morganella morganii. RNAcentral also lists the same sequence under 1 other name. Lineage: Bacteria; Pseudomonadati; Pseudomonadota; Gammaproteobacteria; Enterobacterales; Morganellaceae. The record is from RNAcentral.
UGACCCCAUGCCGAACUCAGAAGUGAAACGCCGUAGCGCCGAUGGUAGUGUGGGGUCUCCCCAUGUGAGAGUAGGGAACCGCCAGGU